CGCGGGGUGGAGCAGUUGGCAGCUCGUCGGGCUCAUAACCCGGAGGUCGCAGGUUCAAAUCCUGUCCCCGCAACCA
This 76-nucleotide transfer RNA is filed under the name Erysipelotrichaceae bacterium. Its description in RNAcentral is "tRNA-Met". It matches the Rfam family "tRNA". From Rfam's summary of the family: Transfer RNA (tRNA) molecules are approximately 80 nucleotides in length. Their secondary structure includes four short double-helical elements and three loops (D, anti-codon, and T loops). The record is from RNAcentral. Lineage: Bacteria; Bacillati; Bacillota; Erysipelotrichia; Erysipelotrichales; Erysipelotrichaceae.